CCCUACGGGAGGCAGCAGUGGGGAAUAUUGCACAAUGGGGGAAACCCUGAUGCAGCGACGCCGCGUGAGUGAAGAAGUAUUUCGGUAUGUAAAGCUCUAUCAGCAGGGAAGGAAAAAGACGGUACCUGACUAAGAAGCCCCGGCUAACUACGUGCCAGCAGCCGCGGUAAUACGUAGGGGGCAAGCGUUAUCCGGAAUUACUGGGUGUAAAGGGAGCGUAGACGGAUGUGCAAGUCUGAUGUGAAAGGCGGGGGCUCAACCCCUGGACUGCAUUGGAAACUGUAAAUCUUGAGUGCCGGAGAGGG
This 305-nucleotide ribosomal RNA is filed under the name uncultured bacterium. Its description in RNAcentral is "bacterial SSU rRNA". It matches the Rfam family "Bacterial small subunit ribosomal RNA", at positions 337 to 658 of the family's 1533-position model. The record is from RNAcentral.